CAUGGAACCAAUUAUUGCGCUUCUGCGCAAUCGGGGGAUUCGUCUAAUCAUUUACUUAGACGACAUCCUACUGCUAUCCCAAUAGGUGCCCCUACUGUAUACUCACCUCAGUUGGACCACAACCUUACUACAGAACCUGGGAUUCAUUAUCAACUGGGAAAAAUCCAUACUAGUUCCCACUCAGCAAAUAGAGUUCCUAGGCCUCCUAGUGGAUUCGCUGAUGCAAAC
This is a non-coding RNA of Pelobates cultripes (western spadefoot toad), 228 nucleotides long. Lineage: Eukaryota; Metazoa; Chordata; Amphibia; Anura; Pelobatidae. The record is from the annotation of a GenBank genome assembly.